GGCUGUGGCUCACUCUGUGGUAGAGCAUCUGCUUAGCAUGCAGAAGGUCCCAGGUUCAAUUCCUGGCAUAGCCA
Molecule: non-coding RNA, 74 nt
Organism: Euleptes europaea (tarantolino)
Lineage: Eukaryota; Metazoa; Chordata; Lepidosauria; Squamata; Sphaerodactylidae
Source: the annotation of a RefSeq genome assembly